This 497-nucleotide ribosomal RNA is filed under the name uncultured bacterium. RNAcentral's name for it is "partial 16S ribosomal RNA". It matches the Rfam family "Bacterial small subunit ribosomal RNA", at positions 28 to 507 of the family's 1533-position model. The record is from RNAcentral.
GAUGAACGCUGGCGGCGUGCCUAAUACAUGCAAGUCGAGCGAACAGACGAGGAGCUUGCUCCUCUGACGUUAGCGGCGGACGGGUGAGUAACACGUGGAUAACCUACCUAUAAGACUGGGAUAACUUCGGGAAACCGGAGCUAAUACCGGAUAACAUGUUGAACCGCAUGGUUCAACAGUGAAAGACGGUCUUGCUGUCACUUAUAGAUGGAUCCGCGCCGCAUUAGCUAGUUGGUAAGGUAACGGCUUACCAAGGCAACGAUGCGUAGCCGACCUGAGAGGGUGAUCGGCUACACUGGAACUGAGACACGGUCCAGACUCCUACGGGAGGCAGCAGUAGGGAAUCUUCCGCAAUGGGCGAAAUCCUGACGGAGCAACGCCGCGUGAGUGAAGAAGGUCUUCGGAUCGUAAAACUCUGUUAUUAGGGAAGAACAAAUGUGUAAGUAACUAUGCACGUCUUGACGGUACCUAAUCAGAAAGCCACGGCUAACUACGUG